ACGACGCCGGCGGCGUGCCUAACACAUGCAAGUCGAACGAAGCAUAGCAAUAUGCUUAGUGGCGGACGGGUGAGUAACGCGUGAACAAUCUGCCCUAUACAGAGGAAUAGCCUCGGGAAACCGGGAUUAAAACCGCAUAACACUUUAGAGUCGCAUGACUUUAAAGUCAAAUUGAUUAGAGGUAUAGGAUGAGUUCGCGUCUGAUUAGCUAGUUGGCGGGGUAACGGCCCACCAAGGCGACGAUCAGUAGCCGGCCUGAGAGGGUGAACGGCCACACUGGAACUGAGACACGGUCCAGACUCCUACGGGAGGCAGCAGUGGGGAAUAUUGCACAAUGGAGGAAACUCUGAUGCAGCGACGCCGCGUGAGUGAAGAAGGUCUUCGGAUCGUAAAACUCUGUCCUUGGUGAAGAAAGAAAUGACGGUAGCCAAGGAGGAAGCCCCGGCUAACUACGUGCCAGCCGCGGC
RNAcentral lists this ribosomal RNA (467 nucleotides) under uncultured bacterium. RNAcentral describes it as "bacterial SSU rRNA". It matches the Rfam family "Bacterial small subunit ribosomal RNA", at positions 33 to 518 of the family's 1533-position model. The record is from RNAcentral.